GCGAAUUCGGGGAAGGCGUCCUCGUGCAAAUGGCGGCCUCAAUCACAAGCCUGUGGAGAAGAGGCGCGCGUCGGUCUCCGGGUUCAUAUCGCCUUUCGAGCCGCACCGCAACAAGCAAAGUCUCUCGAGUCGUGGCGCGGGUCACGUUGCAGCCAUGAGGAGUCCCCGCGGCAGUUCUGCCAUCUUGGAAACCGAAGCGGUGCGACCGUCAUUGGCCGGACGCAGAAGGUCGUCCUUCCCCCUCGCCAUCUUGAUCGGGGCGCUCAUAAAGCGCGCCAGGAAGGCCGUCGACGUGUUUGUCUCGAGCGCAGUCGCCAAGUUCGCACACGCCGCGUCCCGAUCUCGCCACAGUCGCCGUCCACCCUCGCCCACAGACCGUGCCAGCCGUGCCCGCUUCCGAGCGCCCAGAGUCGUCGGGCAGCCCGCAGUACCCCCGAGCCCUUAGCCCAGCCCAGGCAGCCAGCCCAGAGUCUCGGCGUUCGGCGCUCCCACUGACCCAACGAAGCCCACCAAGGUUCGGAUGCGCAGCAAGGCCGUCGCCUUUGCAGUCAUUGACCAGCUGUUCGAAACCAUUCUCACCCGGCGAGGAAGCCGUCUGGGUAACAGUGGAAACGUCCUGGAGCUACAGGUGCUCACGCAGUUGCACCACGUUCCUUGAGAAUCGGCCCCGGCUAGUCAACUAGCUUCCGAGGAACAUCUGCCUUCUGUGAAGGUGUGCGUCGAAGAGUCGUCCUCAGCCGUGCUGCAGCAGUGAGCCUCUCCCUAGGAGUGGUGCGAAGCUUUCGUCCAUUUGGUCGUCCGUUCCAAAUUCCCCUCAUCAUGCGCCCCGGCGAAUCUCCUGCCAUUCCCCAACGAAAGGCGAAUUUCGAAGCCGAAAGCCGCAAGAUGUCCGGCUUCAAGUCGUUCUCCAAGGACCCCCAGUCCCCUUUCAAGAACAACAGCUCCACCGACCAGAAGAAGACCGACCAACCACGGAACCCCUGGGGUCCCACCUUCAAGGACCGCCAGCACUUCGUGGACAUGCAUUUCAACUGAACUGAAUCUUCGGGGCAGGGGCCCAACACCUCCUAUAUAACAAGGCCUUAGUGCUGCCCUCACUACGUCAUCCAUAGUAAGCCAACGCGGAGCACUGAUUAGACACAAGUGUUAUGUCUCCGUCCGGCUGAGUCUCGUGUCCUCAAUGGUACACUGGUCCCUGCCGAACACUGACCCAGCACUCACGUUCAAUCUGUACUCCGCCCUGGCCUCCGUUUGGUGACGAAAUUCAGCACCAAGGCCUCGUUACCUAGGACGCGAUGGCGGGAGACGCUUCCCGAGCCCCGCACCCCUCUUCCGACUUCCGUUAGGGGCUUCGCAAAUGAGACGCAUCGCUUUCGCAGCACCUGUAGGGAGGUGCCUUCUGUACCCGUAUUUGCUACGAGCUUGCCGCACUGGUGACGAUGAUUACUUUGAUGUCAUAUUUACAAGUUAUACUUGUGUCUGUAGAAUCUCUGUGUAGGUGUUUUCUUAACAAAUAUAUGGUACUUAUAUACCGUUAAUGAACAAAGAUAUUUUAUAUCCUAACUUUUUUUUUCGUUUCUACUUCUGUUUAAUCUACAAUAAACUCGGCCUAGUGCCUUCACUGCCAUA
This is a long non-coding RNA of Ixodes scapularis (black-legged tick), 1629 nucleotides long. RefSeq lists it as uncharacterized. Lineage: Eukaryota; Metazoa; Arthropoda; Arachnida; Ixodida; Ixodidae. The record is from RefSeq and is a predicted model, not a curated record. The transcript is spliced from 3 exons.